This is a long non-coding RNA of Leopardus geoffroyi (Geoffroy's cat), 426 nucleotides long. RefSeq lists it as uncharacterized. The record is from RefSeq and is a predicted model, not a curated record. The transcript is spliced from 3 exons. Lineage: Eukaryota; Metazoa; Chordata; Mammalia; Carnivora; Felidae.
GGCGGGGGGGUUAACAUUGAGGAAGAGACGUGAUCCACGAGGCAGAGCGUGACAUGGUGUGCCCGGGAGACCGGAGACAAAAGUUGGCUUCCCGCUGGAAGAACGCGGAGCAGCUGGCCAGCAUAUUCUGAUCCACAGAAAGCGAUACUGGGGGCCACGUCUUCCUUUCCCACUGCCUUCUCCGCACAGGCACCUUAUUGAAUAUAUGCCAUUGAUGCGCGAACGUUGAACUCAGGGCCAGCAGCACUAUAAUGUGUGCCUGAAUGAAGCUUAUCUCAUGCACAGAUUUUCUCUAUAAGGCACAUUGCAGCUAUUGUGGGUUUCAGAACACCAGACAGCACUUCAGCACUAUGCUUGGGGGCCAUUUUAAACAGCAAAAUUGUCGACAAAAGUACAAAAAUACAAAAAAGGUGUCGCCGUCACUCA